Pelobates cultripes (western spadefoot toad) is the source of this 225-nucleotide non-coding RNA. NCBI's taxonomy places the organism in Eukaryota, Metazoa, Chordata, Amphibia, Anura, Pelobatidae. The record is from the annotation of a GenBank genome assembly.
CCAGGCCCAAGGUGAUAUUAAAAGGAAAUUACAGAAAAUAGAGGGAUUUGCAGGGAUGUCCAUAUUACAGCUAAUGGAGAUUGCAAAUACAGUAUAUAUGAAUAGGGAGACGGAGGAAGAACGUAAGAUGAGGAAAAAGGCAGAUAUGCUAGCGGUAGCUAUCUUAAGUGUAGAAAGACAGGGAAGUGAAUAGAGGAGACGAGAAUAGGCUGAGCAAGGGACCUU